ACGGGGCGCAGGUCCGGUCGCCGCACGACCAGGACAGUCGGCGUCGCCACGGGCCGCUCCUUGAGUUCGAAGCUCGCGGCCAAGAGGGGCUCUAGAGCGGUCAGACCCACCGAAAGGGGCUCGGCUGGAAAGUGGCCCGGUGCCAGAACGUGGAACGAUGCGGUGGGACCCGGGUGCUGGAACAGGGCCCCCGGAGCUCGCGGCAGCCGUCCCUGCCCACCAGGAAGAGAAGAGGAAACGGCAAUCGUUAUUUCAGUCUUAUAACUCGGCCUCCCCACCCCCACUCCCCCUUGGUUUGUGAUCAGUAAUUUUCCAGCCGGGAAAUGUUUUCGCCGUCAUCUUCUCUGCAAACAGUGCCUUUUAUU
Odocoileus virginianus texanus is the source of this 365-nucleotide non-coding RNA. The record is from RefSeq and is a predicted model, not a curated record. Lineage: Eukaryota; Metazoa; Chordata; Mammalia; Artiodactyla; Cervidae.